UCCAGGCCCCUUCCACCGGCCCUUUAGGCCCGGCGCAUCCGUCUCAGGAAAGCUGGAACGUUGGGCCCCAUCCUGCUCUUCCCUUCCCCUCCUGCGGGACAAGCCACCAGUUGCAUGUUUCCUCCAACAGCUCUGAGCUGUGCCAGCUCAAGUUAAAAUUGUCACUUCAACUUUGGAAUUAACUUGACCUACUUUUAAUUAUCACUCAGGCAAUCAAGCAGGCACAGAAUCGUCAUUCAGGCUUUCUGUAAAUUUGGGGCACUUCUGCUUUUCCUUAUACAAAAGACAUGUUUGAAAGCCAGUGAAAUUACUUAAUGGAAGGGCAAAGAUGACCAUAAUUGUCAACAGAGAGAAGAAAACUAAAAAAGAACAAAAUGAAAAUUCUGGAACUAAGAAGUACAGUAUCUGCAAUUAAAACAAACAAGUACCUUUUUUUUUUUUUUUUUUUUUGGAUAGGAGAUUUUGGAAAUAUCACAGGGAUUAGUUGAUUUAAAGAUGUGUGAAUAGCAGUUUUUCACUCUGAAAAGGAUAAAAAGGAUUGAAAAAAAAAAGUAUUGAACCAAGUUUUGGUGGCCUGUGGAAUAAUAUUAAAUACCAUACAUGCAAUUAGAGACUCAGAAGAGAAAGGAUAUAAGGUUACAGGGAAUAUUUGGAAUAGAAGAAUUAUUCACAAUUCCUCAUAGUUUGAGAAAGAUAUCAACUAUAGGAAGUUAUGGGGACCUCACACAAGAUAAAUA
Long non-coding RNA from Mustela erminea (ermine), 737 nucleotides. RefSeq lists it as uncharacterized. The transcript has 4 exons. NCBI's taxonomy places the organism in Eukaryota, Metazoa, Chordata, Mammalia, Carnivora, Mustelidae. The record is from RefSeq and is a predicted model, not a curated record.